Molecule: long non-coding RNA, 3133 nt
Filed under: Elaeis guineensis (African oil palm)
Lineage: Eukaryota; Viridiplantae; Streptophyta; Magnoliopsida; Arecales; Arecaceae
Description: long non-coding RNA (EGUI_LNC052207)
Source: RNAcentral
CGACUUCCACAAUUAAAGGAGGUUUUUUCUAUCAUUCGGGUUGAGGAAAGCCAUCAAAGUGGAAUGCUCGAACCCCUCCUUCAGAAGGAUUCGCCUUGGUAUCCACCAAGAGUUCGGAUGGAAGUCACAAAUCAAAUACUUUUGGAGCAAAAUCGGAUGAUCGUGCUUUAGACAAUCCUUCCAAGCAAUCCAAUCGUGAUGGUCUUUGGUAUACUUACUGCAAGAAGCCUUGCCACACAAGUGAUAAUUAUUUUAAUAUUAUGGUAAAGCACAAGUUUUGAGUAGAAUCGGGGGAUUCAAAGGGCAAUAGCGGAAUCAAGCUAAUUUCACCAACAAGAAGGGACCUAUACUUGAAAAAUCUGAAGAAGCUGAAUUUCGAAAAUUCAACAAAGAGGAGGUUGAGAAAUUAUGAAAUUUUCUAAACUUUCUGUCUACUUCCUCUGGUUCAUGUUCAUUGGCUCAGUCUUGUUUCUAAUUCUCUUAAUGCCGAUACAUUGCCUCAUUCCUUCUCCUGGAUACUUGACUUGGGAGCAACGGAUUAUAUGAUCCAUGGCCCAUCUCGAUUUGAGACCUAUAAACCAUGCCUAGGAAAUCAAACAAUUACUGUGGUUGAUGGUUUCCCUACUACUACUAUAGCUGGCCAAGGCCAAAUUUCCUUAGCCCCUUUCAUUUAAAAAAUAUGUUACAUGUUCCAAAAUUAUCCACUAAUUUAAUCUCCAUUCAUCAGCUUACCAAAGAUUUAAAUUGUUGUAUUAUAUUUUUUGAUACCCAUUGCAUCUUUAGGACAAGGUCACAGGGAGAACGAUUGGAUCUGCUAAGGAACGGAAUGGCCUUUACUACCUUGAUGCUGCCAGUAGUUCUUCCACUCCUACAAAUCGGUUCAUCCAAUUCUGCUCAUCCUUCCUCUUUCAAUGAAUUUGAAAUAUGGAUCCAGCAUUUUCGUUUUGGCCAUCCAUCCUUUUUUUUGCUGAAAAAUGUUUCCUUUAUUGUUCAAUAAUGUUGAUGUUCAAAGCUUUCAUUGUGACACUUAUGAAUUUGCUAAACAUCAUAGUGUGUCAUUCCCUUUGAGUAUUAAUAAAUCUUCCAAACCUUUCUUUUUUAUACAUAUAGAUAUUUGGGGUCCAUCUAGAAUUCCUACUCGUACUGGGGCAAAGUGGUUUGUGUGAUUCAUUGAUGACUGUAUUAGGACCAUGUGGAUAUAUCUUAUAGAGAAAAAAAUCUGAGAUCAACCAUAUAAUUCCAUCUUUCCACCAAAUGAUAAAGACACAAUUCGAGAUAUCCAUACAAAGCUGAUAAUGCUCGAGAUUAUUUUAAUUUCACUCUUGCUUCCUUUUUUCAUAAAGAAGGAAUCAUUCACGAAUCCUCUUGUGUUGACGUGUCUCAACAAAAUGGGAUAGCAGAGAGAAAAAAUCGAUAUCUUCUAAAUGUCACUCAUGUCCUUCUUUUCCAUUCUAAUGCCUCGAAAUUUUUUUGGGGAGAUGCCUUCCUUAUAGCAACUUUCCUUAUUAAUAGAGUCCCUUCACGUGUCCUUGGUAAUCAAUCUCCCAUUCACCUAUUGUCUAUCUUUCAUUCUGAGAUUUAUUAUCCGAGUAAUCUUUCUCUUCACAUUUUUGGGUGUCUCCUAUGUCCAUAUUCAUAAACAACACCGGAGAAAGCUUGAUUCUAGAACUUUAAAAUGUGUUUUCGUGGCUAUUCCAAUACACAAAAAGGGUAUAAGUGUUCUCAUCUUCCUAUUCGAAAAAUGUUUAUCUCCAUGGAUGUCACCUUUAAUGAGAAUCAAUUUUAUGUUUUCAAACCCCAUUCCUUUCUUCAGGGGGAGAAGUCUAAGGAUGGCUGGGAGUGGAUAAGUCCUUGAUAAUCUUGGAAGUCUAUAGCCCAUGCCUCCUUUACAUGAACCAUCCUCAUAUGAGAUGCCUCCUCCACAUGAACCAUCUUUAUAUGAGCCGAGACGAGACACUGAAAAUCAGCAACAAAAGCAGCCGGAAUUAAUGCAGUAUUCAAGAAGAAAAAAGGUGAUUUCCAAACCAAUGUGGACCCAAGACUCCAAUCCGGAUGAACAAGAGAUAGGUAAACCAAUUUCUCUUACUAAUUCUAUUCUUAAUGAAGCUAUUCCUAAAGAGCUCAUUUCUCAAAAACUAAAGCUCCCAAUUGCCUUAAGAAAAGCCAUCAAAAAGUGCACUCAACAUCCACUCUAUCCAAUUUCAGUCUCCCUUCAUCGUCUUUCUUCACAACAUAAAAGUUCUCACUAUCCUAGACUCAAUUGAUAUCUCUAAAACAAUACAAGAGGCAUUAAAGAACAAGAAUUGGGUAUAAGCUAUGAAAGAGGAAAUGAUUGCACUAAAAAAGAAUAAGACUUGGGAGGUUGUGACCAGGCCAAAAGGGAAACAACCAGUUGGAUGCAAAUGGGUUUACACUUUAAAAUACCGAGCACAUAGGUCUCUUGAGAGAUACAAGGCAAGAUUAGUUGCAAAGGAGUUUACACAAACCUAUGGGGUAGACUAUCAGAAAACUUUUGCACCAGUAGCAAAGAUGAAUACUGUAAGAAUUAUAUUAUCUCUUGCCGCUGUGUUUGAUUGGGAUUUGCAACAAUUUUAUGUUAAAAAUGCAUUCCUAUAUGGAGAUUUGGAAGAAGAGGUCUUUAUGGAGCCACCAACCGAUUUUGAUGGAGAUUUUGGAGUUGAUAAAAUCUGUUAUUUGAAAAAGACUUUGUACAGCCUAAAACAAUCUCCUAGAACAUGGUUUAGGAGAUUUACAAAGGCAAUGCUGAGAAUGGGAUACAAACAAAAUCAGGAAGACCACACAUUAUUUAUAAAAUACUCAGGUAAAGGUAAAAGUUAUAGCCUUAUUAGUGUAUGUGGAUGAUAUUAUUGUGAGAGGAAAUGAUGUAGCUGAAAGAGAAUCUUUUAGAAAAAGAUUGGCUCAAGAAUUUGAGAUCAAAGAAUCGGAAAACUGAAAUACUUUCUAGGCAUUGAAGUGGCUUACUCAAAAAAAGAAUAUAUUUAUCUCUCAAUGGAAAUAUGUACUAGACCUUCUUAAAGAAAUUAGAAAUCUUUGCGGUAAAGCAGCAAGUAUGUCUAUUGAUUAUAAUCACAAGAUAGGAAGAAUUGAAGAGGGUAGCUUAGUUGAUAAGGGG